Long non-coding RNA from Anopheles gambiae (African malaria mosquito), 1368 nucleotides. RefSeq lists it as uncharacterized. The record is from RefSeq and is a predicted model, not a curated record. The transcript has 2 exons. Lineage: Eukaryota; Metazoa; Arthropoda; Insecta; Diptera; Culicidae.
AGUUAAUUAUUCAUAAACCUAUUGAAUUUUAUAAUUUUUAUAUGAAUGUGACAUUUCUUGGACCAUUAUCCGUGCAAAUCGAUUAACCGGCAUUCGUCCGGUCCCGAGCUGCCCGGAUAAUCGACGUUCUACUGUCGUUAGUCGUUCUACUGUAGAUUAUACAGCGUAAACUUUUUGGAGUUUACGCCUCGUGUGACGUCCGUAUUAACUUUCAGCCAGCGAAUUCUAUUUCGUUUGCCUGCAGCAGGUGUAGUUCCAGCUAAACGGAAGCAAAGCAGACAUAUACUUCCUCUCGCGAGAACCACACCACAAGAUCAUCAUAUCACCCUCUCAUGGUUCGGCGAAACAUCGCAGAACAAUUUUAUGCUGAGCUAGCAUACUGUCGAACGACGAGAACCACACCACAAGAUCAUCAUAGCACCCUCGCAUGGUUCGGCGAAACAUCGCAGAACACAUUUUAUGCUGAGCUAGCAUAAAAUGUGCCAUGCCCGAUGGAACAGCGAUCACCAGCAUCUACCCGAAGACAACCGUCGUGGAGCUUCGGCCCGAAGACAACCGUCGUGGAACAUCCGCCCGAAGACAACCGUCAUAGAACAUCCGUCCGAAGAUGACAUCGUGAAACACCGGCGCAAUAGGCUUAGGCUCGAGCUAGUUAGGACUAGGGAGUUUAAGUCAGUUCAGAAUUGUAACUCACCAGCGAUAGACGCAUUAGGUUGAUUAAGAAAAAUAAAUGUUUUUUUUUAUAAGACUUAAUAUGUCCCUCGCAUAACUAUAUAUUGUUACACAACAAGCAAUAAAAUUUAACUACAAUACAACUUUUGAUAGAAAAGAAAAAGACAUAAGCAUCCACUCAAAACAUGCGGUAAGGCCGGUUGGGGUGUUGGAGUUACAGCACAUUUUUGAUUGAAAAAAAUAUUGAUAGGAGUUUUAAAACUCUAAAUUUACUACGAUAUUUUAAUCAACAUUAUUAUGAUCAUAUGAGACAGAUUUCAUUCAAAUUUAACUAGUAAUUCAAAAGAUAUACGCUUUCAACCACGAAUACCAUCAUUCUUCCAUAAAAAAUGUAUGGGCACCAGGGUAGGCCGUUGUACAUAUGAAGGGUAUAUAAACUAAAAUAAUUUUUAGAAAUAUUUAAACAUUUUUCAUAUUUUUCUUAUUUUUUGGACAAAGUUAAAAAAAAAUUCUGAGGUAUUUUUGAAUUUGAAGUCCGACUUGAAGUACGAGUGUCCGAGUGUGAAGUACGACUUCUUAAUCCAAAGUUAUUUUGUAAUAAAAAUGCGAAACUUAUCCGAGGAGGCGGUCCGACGGUCAAACAUGAUGGCUAAAAAAUGUGUAUAAAAAAAAUUGGACGAUGUAACGUAAAACAUA